RNAcentral lists this ribosomal RNA (261 nucleotides) under uncultured Lactobacillus sp. Its description in RNAcentral is "partial 16S ribosomal RNA". It matches the Rfam family "Bacterial small subunit ribosomal RNA", at positions 274 to 525 of the family's 1533-position model. The record is from RNAcentral. Lineage: Bacteria; Bacillati; Bacillota; Bacilli; Lactobacillales; Lactobacillaceae.
CGAUGAUGCAUAGCCGACGUUGAGAGACUGAUCGGCCACAUUGGGACUGAGACACGGCCCAACGCUCCUACGGGAGGCAGCAGUAGGGAAUCUUCCACAAUGGACGCAAGUCUGAUGGAGCAACGCCGCGUGAGUGAAGAAGGGUUUCGGCUCGUAAAGCUCUGUUGUUGGUGAAGAAGGACAGGGGUAGUAACUGACCUUUGUUUGACGGUAAUCAAUUAGAAAGUCACGGCUAACUACGUGCCAGCAGCCGCGGUAAAU